This 253-nucleotide ribosomal RNA is filed under the name uncultured bacterium. RNAcentral describes it as "partial 16S ribosomal RNA". It matches the Rfam family "Bacterial small subunit ribosomal RNA", at positions 524 to 776 of the family's 1533-position model. The record is from RNAcentral.
UACGAAGGUGGCAAGCGUUACUCGGAAUUACUAGGCGUAAAGGGCAGGUAGGUGGUUUGGUAAGUCUGUUGUGGAAGCUCUCGGCUUAACUGAGAGAGGUCAACAGAAACUGCCAGGCUUGAGUAUGGGAGAGGGUACUGGAAUUCCCGGUGUAGCGGUGAAAUGCGCAGAGAUCGGGAGGAACACCGAUGGCGAAAGCAGGUACCUGGACCAUUACUGACACUAAACUGCGAAAGCUAGGGGAGCAAACAGG